GUUCUAUGGAUUUUAAUUUUAGAUCAGUCCUGCUCUAUGAUUUAUUAAAUGGCUGCAGUAUUUUAACUGUACUAAGGUAGCAUAAUAAUUUGUCUUUUAAUUGGAGGCUAGAAUGAAUGGUUUCAUGAAAAAUUAACUUUUUUAUUUUAAUAUUUUGAAUUUAAUUUUUUAGUUAAAAAGCUAAAAUUUUUGUAUAGGACGAGAAGACCCUAUAGAAUUUUAUUUUUUAUUUAAUUUUAUUAUUUUUGAUUAUUUUAUAUUAUUUUUUUUAAUAAAAAAUUUUGUUGGGGUGAUUUAAAAACUUUUUUAACUUUUUAUUUUUUUUUCAUAGAUUAAUGUUUUUUUGUUCCUAUUUUUUUAGAUUAUAAGAUUAAAUUACCUUAGGGAUAACAGCGUUAUUUUUUCGGAUAGUACUUAUUGAUGGAAAAGUUUGCGA
Molecule: ribosomal RNA, 436 nt
Filed under: Mesovelia horvathi
Lineage: Eukaryota; Metazoa; Arthropoda; Insecta; Hemiptera; Mesoveliidae
Description: partial 16S ribosomal RNA
Source: RNAcentral